Molecule: ribosomal RNA, 425 nt
Filed under: uncultured Cyanobium sp.
Lineage: Bacteria; Bacillati; Cyanobacteriota; Cyanophyceae; Synechococcales; Prochlorococcaceae
Description: bacterial SSU rRNA
Rfam family: Bacterial small subunit ribosomal RNA
Source: RNAcentral
UGGGGAAUUUUCCGCAAUGGGCGCAAGCCUGACGGAGCAACGCCGCGUGAGGGAUGAAGGCCUCUGGGCUGUAAACCUCUUUUCUCAGGGAAGAAGACCUGACGGUACCUGAGGAAUAAGCAUCGGCUAACUCCGUGCCAGCAGCCGCGGUAAGACGGAGGAUGCAAGCGUUAUCCGGAAUUAUUGGGCGUAAAGCGUCCGCAGGCGGCCUUGUAAGUCUGUCGUUAAAGCGUGGAGCUUAACUCCAUUUCGGCGAUGGAAACUACAAGGCUUGAGUGUGGUAGGGGCAGAGGGAAUUCCAGGUGUAGCGGUGAAAUGCGUAGAUAUCUGGAAGAACACCAGUGGCGAAAGCGCUCUGCUGGGCCAUAACUGACGCUCAGGGACGAAAGCUAGGGGAGCGAAAGGGAUUAGAUACCCCUGUAGUC